CAACAUCAGGGGAUGGGGGGACAGGAAAACAGGGAAUUGGGGCAGGAAAAUGAAAUCCAAAGGGGUGUCCUGUGGUCAUGUGGAUGGUGGAUGUUGGGUCCACGGUGAUGGCAUCAGGGACUGCAAACCCCAAAGAGAAAAGCCCUCCUUGCCUGGAGGAGGGCCGCCUCGCUUUUAGGGCUUUAGGGUCAAGAGAAAGGUGAGAAAUCCACCCCAAAGCAGCAAGGCGCAGGGCUGGGAGCUGGGAGCAUCACACGAAUGGGGCUAAUCGGGUGGGCGAUAUGGGGUCGGGGGGCACACGGCGGUGCCACCACUCCCUGUGGGCAACCCCAAACCUUCCCCGUCCCGUCCCCACCGCGGCACGUCACGCCGUGCGUGCUCCGAGUGGCAGGAGGGCUGAGGGAUGAUUAAAGAGGCCUUUGAUGAAGGCAAAAAAUUAAUAAACAAGCUCGCAACCCUGCCGGCCUCUAUUUACCGGCGGGUGCCGGCGCGGCGAGGCCGCCGAGGCCUGCUGCCACAUCAAACGCUGGGGCAGCGCCUGGCCGAGGGGACGGCGGCCUCGCCUCCCACGGUUUUUUUUCCUGGUCCCUAUGAGGCCGUGAGGAGGUCGGCGGGGCCGAUCCUAAAAGCAGGGCCCCGUCCGGUGCCGGCGGGGGCCGUGGGGGCCAUCCUGAGGGACACACGGGUCGGGGUGUGGUGUGGAGGCGCCGCUUGGCACGCUCGCCCCGUCGCCUCGUGGGGUUGGCGUUGCCACGUCUCUAUCCCUAAUGGUGCCCCCCCCAGCACGCCCGGUGUCCCCAAAUGUCCCUGCUGGCCCCCCGGGAUCAAGGCCGACACCCAACCAUGGCACCCAUGGGUCCCUCAGCCUCCCCCUUAUCACCCUGCCGGCUCCUUAUCGCCCUGCUGGGCAAACAGGAGCUCCCCACGGGCCCCAGGGUGGUGGCACGGGGCGGGGGGGGCAACCCUGUCCCUGUUUGUCCCUGUUUGUCCCCCCCCCAUGGGGCCAGGCGGGUGGGGACCCCUCUGCGUGCCCUCCUGGAUGGGGUCGGGGUUACCGGGGUGGUGUUUUUGCCGCGGGGGUGGCACCUGGGGGCUGGGGUGUGCCCCCCCCCCCAAUUUGGGGGGUAUUUGGGGGGGGGCAGCCCCUUGCUGCUUGCAUUUCAUGGCUGGGGGGGGCUGGGCUGUGCAUAGGGCUGUAUGGGGGGGGUCCCAAU
This 1214-nucleotide long non-coding RNA is filed under the name Cairina moschata (Muscovy duck). RNAcentral describes it as "domestica (muscovy Duck (domestic type)) lncRNA (ENSCMMG00000006367.1)". The record is from RNAcentral. Lineage: Eukaryota; Metazoa; Chordata; Aves; Anseriformes; Anatidae.